CAGUAGCCGCGGGAAUACGUAGGGUGCAAGCGUUAAUCGGAAUUACUGGGCGUAAAGCGUGCGCAGGCGGUUCGUUAAGACAGAUGUGAAAUCCCCGGGCUUAACCUGGGAACUGCAUUUGUGACUGGCGGGCUAGAGUAUGGCAGAGGGGGGUAGAAUUCCACGUGUAGCAGUGAAAUGCGUAGGGAUGUGGAGGGAUACCGAUGGCGAAGGCAGCCCCCUGGGCCAAUACUGACGCUCAUGCACGAAAGCGUGGGGAGCAAACAGGAUUAGAUACCCGCGUAGUCCCUGUCUCUUAUAC
This 301-nucleotide ribosomal RNA is filed under the name uncultured bacterium. RNAcentral's name for it is "partial 16S ribosomal RNA". It matches the Rfam family "Bacterial small subunit ribosomal RNA", at positions 509 to 807 of the family's 1533-position model. The record is from RNAcentral.